CGUGGACCGGGGAACACCUAGGCGGCCUAACUCGAGCGCGGUUAUAUAGAGGUAUCCCAACCGGUAACUCCUGUUCGCGGGCCCACGAGGAUAGAAAGGCGUCUGGUGGGUACAGACUGUUUUCUACGGGGCAGUUUGCCGCAGCAAUGCGGGAGUACUGGGUGGAGUUUCCUAAAGCAGAUUGGAGGGAGAUUUCAGACUCUAUCAAAGGUGAGCUCUUGAGCCGAUAGUGACUAAGUCCCGAUAAUCAUUAUUGUAUUUAUCUUUUAUCGUUUAAAUACACCACUGAAGACAU
Molecule: long non-coding RNA, 295 nt
Organism: Orussus abietinus
Lineage: Eukaryota; Metazoa; Arthropoda; Insecta; Hymenoptera; Orussidae
Exons: 2
Source: RefSeq, a predicted model, not a curated record